This 2244-nucleotide long non-coding RNA is filed under the name Homo sapiens (human). RNAcentral's name for it is "HSALNT0339870". Lineage: Eukaryota; Metazoa; Chordata; Mammalia; Primates; Hominidae. The record is from RNAcentral.
CUGAGUAUCACAGAUUGUUCCAACACUCACUUUCAUCAUUUCCUUCACGAGGAAAGAGGCCCACGAAGGUUAAAUGACUUAUAUGAGGUCACAAAGUCACUUGGAGACAAAAUCAGCAGUAGGAUCUCGGUUUCCAGCCCAGUGCAAUUUCUGCUCUAUCCCGCUGACCUCAUUGUUGAGGUAGGUGGUAAUGUAAAGGGAAGAGCUACCCCUUAUGGGAUGUUUCUUUCUAUCAGCCUUUAGAGGGUCAGGUUUAUUUGCUGGUGGUAGACUGACAGCCCAACUACUUGAUAGAAACCCUACGUUGAUGUCAGAAUGCUGGACACCGCAAAGCUCUGGGAAGCAUCUUAUAACAACGGCUCAACCAUUUCCUCUUCAAAUGUACUGCUUAAUCACAUAAGUUCCUGAUACGGUUUGGCUGUGUCCGCACUCAAAUCUCAUGCUGAAUUGCAGUUCCCAUUAUCCCUAUGUGUCCUGGGAAGGACCCGGAGGGAGGUAGUUGAAUCAAGGGGGCGGUUACCCUCAUGCGGUUCUCGUGAUAGCAAGUGAGUUCUCACGAGAUCUGAUGGUUUUAUAGAGGCUUUCCCCUCCUUCCCUCUGCACUUCUCGCUGCUGCCACGUCGCAAAGGAAGUGUUUUCUUCUCCUUCCGCCAUGAUUAUAAAUUUCCUGAGGCCUCCCCAGCCCUGCGGAACUGUGAGUCAAUUAAAUCUUUUUCUUUAUAAAUUACCCAAUCGUAGGUAUGUCCUUAUAGCAGUGUGAGAACCGACUAAUACAGUUCCUUAGGAAGCCCCUGCUGGGUAUGGAUGGGGAGUGAAGCAAGGUGGGCCCAGAAGCUGCCGCUGGCUGAGAGACCAUGAAGAAAGUGUAUAGAAUCUCCACCAUCACCAGAGGAAGAGAGCUUGGCAGGAAAGUUACUUCCAUGAAUGGAUGAGUUGAAGUGAACAGCGUCUUGGGCAAAACUGAAGGGUAGUUAGUCGGGUUUGUCUCUGGUGGGCUUUCAGCUCCACUCCCUGCAUCCCAUUCCCACAUCGUGAUGGUCCCCUCAUAGGCCCAGGGCUACCACCUUGGAGCAUAGGUGGGGAUCCUCCAGCCAGGGUCCUUCCUUCACAGGGAGUCAGAGCCCUCUGCUCCGGAAUUGCCCUGCCCCAGGUCGGCCAUCUAUCAAAAGCCCCACUAUCCCCUAAAGACCCACCCUCAAGCAGCAGAUGUGCAGCAAGGGAGCCGCAAAUGUCAUUCCUGUGACCCCGAAGCAGUCUAGUGUGUUACCUCUCUCAGGGCUGCUAUGGGCUGAAUUGCUUUUCCCCAAAAUUUCUAUGCUGCUUCCCUAACCCCCAGCGCCUCAGAAUCUAACUCUGGAUAGGACCUGUGAAUAAGUGAUUAAGUUAAAAUGGGGUCCUGUGGAUGGGCCCUAACCCAAUCUGACUGGUGUCCUUUUAAGAAGAGGAAGAGACACCAGAGAUGUGCACACUCAGAGACAAGACACAUGAGGACACAGAGACAAGGCGGCUACCUGCAAGCCAGGGAGAGGGGCCUCGGGGAAGCCAACCCUGCCUACGCCUUGAUCUUGGACUUCCAGCCUCCAGAACUCCAGAAUCUGAGUGAAAUGGGUAUAAAUCAUGAGCUAGGAUACAGUUCAAUUAUUCCUAUGAUGAAAAGCCCCUGCCAAUCACUAUUCUACUUUCUGUCUUCAUGAAUUUAACUACUGCAGGAUGUCGUGUACAUGGAGUCAUGCAGUAUUUGUCCUUUUGUGAGUGGCUUAUUUCACUUAGUAUAAUGUCUUCAAGGUCAUCCAUGGUGUAGCAUGGGUUCAAAUUCCCUCCUUCUGAAGGCUGAAUCAUAUUCCAUUGUAGGUACAGUCAGCCUCUGGAUAUCUGUGGGUUCUGUAUCCAUGGAUUCAACCAAAUGCAGAUCAAGAAUAUUAAAAAGGCCGGGCACAGUGGCUCACGCCUGUAAGCCCAGCACUUUGGAAGGCUGAGGCGAGUGGAUCACUUGAGGUCAGGAGACUAGCCUGGUCAACAUGGUGAAACCCCAUCUCUACUAAAAAUACAAAAAUUAGCCAGUCGUGGUGGUGCACACCUGUACUUCCACCUACUCGGGAGGCUGAGGCAGGAGAAUUGCUUGAAUCCGGCAGGCAGAGGUUGCAGUGAGCUGAGAUUGUGCCACUGCACUCCAGCCUGGGUGACACAGCAAGACUCUGUCUCAAAAAAAUAUAUAUAAAAUAUAUAUAUAAAAUAUAUAUAUAU